GUCGAGUGUUAGCCUAACCGCAAGGAGGGCGAUUACCACGGCAGGGUUCGUGACUGGGGUGAAGUCGUAACAAGGUAGCCGUAUCGGAAGGUGCGGCUGGAUCACCUCCUUUCUGGAAAACUGCAUUCAAGAUUGAACGCCCACACUUAUCGGUUGUUGGAACGAGUCGGGAAACCGACAUGGGUCUGUAGCUCAGCUGGUUAGAGCACCGUCUUGAUAAGGCGGGGGUCGUUGGUUCGAGCCCAACUAGACCCACCAAAUUCCAAUACACGGGUACGUGAGAGGACACUGGGGGAUUAGCUCAGCUGGGAGAGCACCUGCUUUGCAAGCAGGGGGUCGUCGGUUCGAUCCCGUCAUCCUCCACCAACCCAAGAGAAACUCAACACCAAAGCGGCUUUAACCGAAAAAAGGUCAAAGGCUGUUUUGUUGUUGAUCAAUAUCGAUUGAUCAAUCGGCUGUUCUUUAAAAAUUCAUAGAGUCGAAUCAGCGUUGUCAGAGGAAACUGCACAUUCGUAAAGGUUUAGUGCAGACCGUGCCUCUGAUGACAAUUUUUUGAUUGCGUCAAAACGAAUAUUCAAUAAGCGAAAGCUGAUUGAAAUUCAGUAAUGACGAAUGUUCUUUGAUAGUGAUAUCGAGGAAAUAUUCACAUUACGGCAUAACGCGCCAGGUGAAAGACCUGGCAAGUCCUAGACAAGAAGCGGCGAUGUUUCGAAAGAGACGUCAAAGUUAUAGGGUCAAGUGACUAAGAGCAUGUGGUGGAUGCCUUGGCGAUUACAGGCGACGAAAGACGUGAUAGCCUGCGAAAAGCUUCGGGGAGCUGGCAAAUAAGCAUUGAU
RNAcentral lists this unclassified non-coding RNA (836 nucleotides) under uncultured bacterium. RNAcentral describes it as "partial contains 16S ribosomal RNA and 16S-23S ribosomal RNA intergenic spacer". The stretch from base 1 to 112 matches the Rfam family "Bacterial small subunit ribosomal RNA", at positions 1419 to 1533 of the family's 1533-position model. The record is from RNAcentral.